RNAcentral lists this ribosomal RNA (468 nucleotides) under uncultured bacterium. Its description in RNAcentral is "partial 16S ribosomal RNA". It matches the Rfam family "Bacterial small subunit ribosomal RNA", at positions 28 to 507 of the family's 1533-position model. The record is from RNAcentral.
GACGAACGCUGGCGGCGUGCUUAACACAUGCAAGUCGAACGGAAAGGCCCUGCUUAUGUGGGGGGCUCGAGUGGCGAACGGGUGAGUAACACGCGAGUAACCUGCCCUUGACUUUGGGAUAACUUCAGGAAACUGGGGCUAAUACCGGAUAGGAGCUCCUGCUGCAUGGUGGGGGUUGGAAAGUUUCGGCGGUUGGGGAUGGACUGGCGGCUUAUCAGCUUGUUGGUGGGGUAGGGGCUUACCAGGGCUUUGACGGGUAGCCGGCCUGAGAGGGUGAGCGGCCACGUUGGGACGGAAAUGCGGCCCAGACUCCUACGGGAGGCAGCAGUGGGGAAUAUUGCACAAUGGGAGGAAGCCUGAUGCAGCAACGCCGCGUGCGGGGUGACGGCCUUCGGGUUGUAAACCGCUUUCGCAUGUGACGAAGCGUGAGUGACGGUAAUGGGUAAAGAAGCACCGGCUAACUACGUG